Ictalurus punctatus (channel catfish) is the source of this 1615-nucleotide long non-coding RNA. Lineage: Eukaryota; Metazoa; Chordata; Actinopteri; Siluriformes; Ictaluridae. The record is from Ensembl.
CCAGUUCCCGUUAUUCAUGUUCCUGUUUUACAUGUUAUAGAACAGAGAUUGAUUAAUGGCACAUGUCAUUACGUCCCCACACCACGCCAUCCGACGUUCCCUCCAGAAUUUCGAAAUACAGUUCGUCUUCGUUAUGGUACCGUAUACAGUUUUGGGUGUUUUUUAUUUAAAAUUUUACAAAAGCUUCAAGUGCAGUUAAUUAUUUGUCAUGCUAUACAUGCAAUUGGACGACUGCUUGAAGCCGUGGGCUGCGUCCAAAACCACGUACUUACCUGCUAUAUAGUAGCUGAGAUACAUGUAUUUCACCUACUAUAUGCAUGUAUUUCACCUACUAUUUAGUAGGUGAAAUACCUGUAUAUAGUAGAAUACGUGUAUAUAGUAGGUGAAAUACACGUAUAUGGUAAAUACAUGUAUAUAGUAGGUGAAAUACAUGUAUAUAGUAGGUGAAAUACAUGUAUAUGGUAGAAUACGUGUAUAUAGUAGGUGAAAUACAUGUAUAUAGUAGGUGAAAUACUUGUAUAUAGUAGAAUACGUGUAUAUAGUAGGUGAAAUACAUGUAUAUAGUAGAAUACGUGUAUAUAGUAGGUGAAAUACAUGUAAAUAGUAGAAUACGUGUAUAUAGUAGGUGAAAUACAUGUUUAUAGUAGGUGAAAUACACGUAUUUCGGCUACGAUAUAGUAGGUGAAAUACAUGUAUAUGGUAGAAUACAUGUAUAUAGUUGGUGAAAUACAUGUAUAUAGUAGGUGAAUUACACGUAUUUCGGCUACGAUAUAGUAGUUGAAAUACGUGUAUAUAGUAGAAUACGUGUAUAUAGUAGGUGAAAUACAUGUAUAUAGUAGGUGAAAUACAUGUAUAUAGUAGAAUACAUGUAUAUAGUAGGUGAAAUACAUGUAUAUAGUAGGUGAAAUACUUGUAUAUUAGGUGAAAUACUUGUAUAUGCAAGCAUUUCACUUGCUAUAUACAAGUAUCUCGUCAGCAAAAACUUCCCCAUAUCAACAGAUACACGUUCUGUAAAGCCGUUUAUGUGGAGUGUCUAGCCUACAAAUCCCUGCGCAGAUUGUAUCUAAAGAAACAGUGACAAUCUACAGCAAUAAUAUAAACCUGUAAUUUGCCUUGUAGCCCGAGCUACUGUCAAAGCUGCGGUUAUAGAAAUAAAUCUCAACACCUUCCGACCAAUCGGAUUUGAGAUUUCGACAGGGCUAUAAUAAUGUAAUAAUAAUCAGGUUUCGUCGUGUGUCUUAGUAAUGAUAUAUCGACUCAGCCCUAGUUCGGUUUUCCGUUUUCGUUUAAUGCUCUUAGCAUACCAGUGUGGUUCAUUAUAAUGUGCCAUCCAAACACUGUCAUAAAGUUUUUGGCUAUGGAUGGCUCACAGCACUGGGAAGUGAUGUGUAUGUGUGUGUGUGUGUAUGUGUGUGUGUGUGUGUGUUAAUUAGAGGUCGUGCAGGGAGAGAGGCUUGAGAUUCCACACACUCAAGGCCUCUGAAUCAAACAACCUGGUGCUUUUUGGUGGUUUUUUUUGCACUUUCAUGCCAACUGGUAUCAAUCCAGCACCAGUGGAGCAAAAUGCUCAGGACACGGUCUUUAUAAUGAGGUGUAGUUGCACACUGAGUCACCA